Molecule: unclassified non-coding RNA, 479 nt
Filed under: Hevea brasiliensis (rubber tree)
Lineage: Eukaryota; Viridiplantae; Streptophyta; Magnoliopsida; Malpighiales; Euphorbiaceae
Source: RNAcentral
GCGUCCUUCUUCAUCAAUCUUCAUCAGUCCAAAAGCAGUGGCACGCUUUUCAUCCAUUGGCAAUGCAGCAACAGUAAUAUCAGCAUCCGUCUCUCUGUGUGCUUGAAUAAACUUCUCAUAAUCCAUGCGAUACAAGUGAUCUCCAGCAAGAAUCAAGAACUCUAAAACAUUAUGCUCCUCAAAAAGCCACAGAUACUGCCUCACAGCAUCAGCAGUACCCUGAAACCAAUUGGGGUUUUCCGGGCUCUGCUGUGCCGCAAGUACCUCGACAAAUCCUUCAUUCUGGUACCCACCCAUGUUGCUCGCAUAAGCCCGCGACAAGUGGCGAUUAAGUGAGGCGGAAUUGAACUGAGUGAGUACAUAAAUUUUUGAGAUGUCGCUGUUCAAGCAGUUGCUGACUGGAAUGUCGAUCAGCCGGUAGUUCGCUCCCAACGGAACCGCUGGCUUGGCUCUCUUCUUCGUUAAUGGGUACAGUCGUG